CCUACGGGAGGCAGCAGUGAGGAAUAUUGGUCAAUGGACGAGAGUCUGAACCAGCCAAGUAGCGUGAAGGAUGACUGCCCUAUGGGUUGUAAACUUCUUUUAUAUGGGAAUAAAACGUUCCACGUGUGGGAUUUUGUAUGUACCAUAUGAAUAAGGCUCGGCUAACUCCGUGCCAGCAGCCGCGGUAAUACGGAGGAUCCGAGCGUUAUCCGGAUUUAUUGGGUGUAAAGGGAGCGUAGGUGGAUUGUUAAGUCAGUUGUGAAAGUUUGAGGCUGAACCGUAAAAUUGCAGUUGAAACUGGCAGUCUUGAGUACAGUAGAGGUGGGCGGAAUUCGUGGUGUAGCGGUGAAAUGCUUAGAUAUCACGAAGAACUCCGAUUGCGAAGGCAGUUCACUGGACUGCAACUGACACUGAGGCUCGAAAGUGUGGGUAUCAAACAGGAUUAGAUACCCUUGUAGUC
RNAcentral lists this ribosomal RNA (460 nucleotides) under uncultured bacterium. Its description in RNAcentral is "partial 16S ribosomal RNA". It matches the Rfam family "Bacterial small subunit ribosomal RNA", at positions 338 to 795 of the family's 1533-position model. The record is from RNAcentral.